This 467-nucleotide ribosomal RNA is filed under the name uncultured Azospira sp. RNAcentral's name for it is "bacterial SSU rRNA". It matches the Rfam family "Bacterial small subunit ribosomal RNA", at positions 337 to 796 of the family's 1533-position model. RNAcentral also lists the same sequence under 1 other name. Lineage: Bacteria; Pseudomonadati; Pseudomonadota; Betaproteobacteria; Rhodocyclales; Rhodocyclaceae. The record is from RNAcentral.
UCCUACGGGAGGCAGCAGUGGGGAAUUUUGGACAAUGGGGGCAACCCUGAUCCAGCCAUGCCGCGUGAGUGAAGAAGGCCUUCGGGUUGUAAAGCUCUUUCGGCUGGGAAGAAAUCGCAUCUCCUAAUACGGGGUGUGGAUGACGGUACCAGCAUAAGAAGCACCGGCUAACUACGUGCCAGCAGCCGCGGUAAUACGUAGGGUGCGAGCGUUAAUCGGAAUUACUGGGCGUAAAGCGUGCGCAGGCGGUUUCGUAAGACAGAGGUGAAAUCCCCGGGCUCAACCUGGGAACUGUCUUUGUGACUGCGAGGCUAGAGUAUGGCAGAGGGGGGUGGAAUUCCACGUGUAGCAGUGAAAUGCGUAGAGAUGUGGAGGAACACCGAUGGCGAAGGCAGCCCCCUGGGCCAAUACUGACGCUCAUGCACGAAAGCGUGGGGAGCAAACAGGAUUAGAUACCCUGGUAGUCA